UGGGGAAUUUUGGACAAUGGGCGAAAGCCUGAUCCAGCAAUGCCGCGUGUGUGAAGAAGGCCUUCGGGUCGUAAAGCACUUUUGUCCGGAAAGAAAUCCUUGGCUCUAAUACAGUCGGGGGAUGACGGUACCGGAAGAAUAAGCACCGGCUAACUACGUGCCAGCAGCCGCGGUAAUACGUAGGGUGCAAGCGUUAAUCGGAAUUACUGGGCGUAAAGCGUGCGCAGGCGGUUUGCUAAGACCGAUGUGAAAUCCCCGGGCUCAACCUGGGAACUGCAUUGGUGACUGGCAGGCUAGAGUAUGGCAGAGGGGGGUAGAAUUCCACGUGUAGCAGUGAAAUGCGUAGAGAUGUGGAGGAAUACCGAUGGCGAAGGCAGCCCCCUGGGCCAAUACUGACGCUCAUGCACGAAAGCGUGGGGAGCAAACAGGAUUAGAUACCCUGGUAGUCCACGCCCUAAACGAUGUCAACUAGUUNUUGGGGAUUCAUUUCCUUAGUAACGUAGCUAACGCGUGAAGUUGACCGCCUGGGGAGUACGGUCGCAAGAUUAAAACUCAAAGGAAUUGACGGGGUCAUAGCUGUUU
RNAcentral lists this ribosomal RNA (582 nucleotides) under uncultured bacterium. RNAcentral's name for it is "partial 16S ribosomal RNA". It matches the Rfam family "Bacterial small subunit ribosomal RNA", at positions 355 to 935 of the family's 1533-position model. The record is from RNAcentral.